UAGGGAAUCUUCCACAAUGGACGCAAGUCUGAUGGAGCAACGCCGCGUGAGUGAAGAAGUUUUUCGGAUCAUAAAGCUCUGUUGUUGGUGAAGAAGGAUAGAGGCAGUAACUGGUCUUUAUUUGACGGUAAUCAACUAGAAAGUCACGGCUAACUACGUGCCAGCAGCCGCGGUAAUACUUAGGUGGCAAGCGUUGUCCGGAUUUAUUGGGCGUAAAGCGAGCGCAGGCGGAAUGAUAAGUCUGAUGUGAAAGCCGACGGCUCAACCGUGGAACUGCAGCGGAAACGGUCAUUAUUGAGUGCAGAAGAGGAGAGUGGAAUUCCAUGUGUAGCGGUGGAAUGCGUAGAUAUAUGGAAGAACACCAGUGGCGAAGGCGGCAAUCUGGUCUGCAACUGACGCUGAGGCUCGAAAGCAUGGGUAGAGAACAGG
RNAcentral lists this ribosomal RNA (429 nucleotides) under bacterium. RNAcentral describes it as "partial 16S ribosomal RNA". It matches the Rfam family "Bacterial small subunit ribosomal RNA", at positions 355 to 776 of the family's 1533-position model. The record is from RNAcentral.